Molecule: ribosomal RNA, 663 nt
Filed under: Actinomycetes bacterium
Lineage: Bacteria; Bacillati; Actinomycetota; Actinomycetes
Also listed under: 1 other name
Description: bacterial SSU rRNA
Rfam family: Bacterial small subunit ribosomal RNA
Source: RNAcentral
CGCGGCCUAUCAGCUUGUUGGUGAGGUAAUGGCUCACCAAGGCUCCGAUUGGUAGCCGGCCUGAGAGGGCGGACGGUCACACUGGAACUGAGACACGGUCCAGACUCCUACGGGAGGCAGCAGUGAGGAAUUUUCGUCAAUGGGGGAAACCCUGAACGAGCAACGCCGCGUGGAGGACGAAGACCUUCGGGUUGUAAACUCCUGUCGGACGGGACGAAAGUUAUCGAGGUUAAUACCCUUGGUAGUUGACGGUACCGUACGAGGAAGCCCCGGCUAACUUCGUGCCAGCAGCCGCGGUAAUACGAGGGGGGCAAGCGUUGUUCGGAAUUACUGGGCGUAAAGGGCGCGUAGGCGGUCUGACAAGUCUUCCGUGAAAGCCCACGGCUCAACCGUGGAACUGCGGGGGAAACUGCCAGACUUGAGUCCGGGAGGGGAGAGUGGAAUUCCCAGUGUAGCGGUGAAAUGCGCAGAUAUUGGGAGGAACACCGGAGGCGAAGGCGUCUCUCUGGACCGGUACUGACGCUGAGGCGCGAAAGCCAGGGGAGCGAACGGGAUUAGAUACCCCGGUAGUCCUGGCCGUAAACGAUGAGCACUGGAUGUGGCGGGUAUUGACCCCUGCCGUGUCGGCGCUAACGCAUUAAGUGCCCCGCCUGGGGAGUACGG